This 694-nucleotide ribosomal RNA is filed under the name uncultured bacterium. Its description in RNAcentral is "bacterial SSU rRNA". It matches the Rfam family "Bacterial small subunit ribosomal RNA", at positions 141 to 851 of the family's 1533-position model. The record is from RNAcentral.
GGAUAACAGUUGGAAACAACUGCUAAUACCGCAUAAGCGCACACUGUCGCAUGACAGAGUGUGAAAAUUUCCGGAGGUAUACGAUGGACCCGCGUCUGAUUAGCCAGUUGGCGGGGUAACGGCCUACCAAAGCAACGAUCAGUAGCCGGCCUGAGAGGGUGGACGGCCACAUUGGGACUGAGACACGGCCCAAACUCCUGCGGGAGGCAGCAGUGGGGGAUAUUGCACAAUGGGGGAAACCCUGAUGCAGCGACGCCGCGUGAGUGAAGAAGCAUUUCGGUGUGUAAAGCUCUAUCAGCAGGGAAGAAGAAUGACGGUACCUGACUAAGAAGCCCCGGCUAACUACGUGCCAGCAGCCGCGGUAAUACGUAGGGGGCAAGCGUUAUCCGGAUUUACUGGGUGUAAAGGGAGCGUAGACGGCAAUGCAAGCCAGAUGUGAAAACCCGCAGCUCAACUGGGGGAGUGCAUUUUGAACUGUGUAGCUGGAGUGCAGGAGAGGUAAGCGGAAUUCCUGGUGUAGCGGUGAAAUGCGUAGAUAUCAGGAGGAACACCAGUGGCGAAGGCGGCUUACUGGACUGUAACUGACGUUGAGGCUCGAAAGCGUGGGGAGCAAACAGGAUUAGAUACCCUGGUAGUCCACGCUGUAAACGAUGAAUAAUAGGUGUCGGGGGUUUACGGACGCCCGGUGCCGCAG